RNAcentral lists this small RNA (56 nucleotides) under Scleropages formosus (Asian bonytongue). RNAcentral describes it as "Nitrogen stress-induced RNA 1". It matches the Rfam family "Nitrogen stress-induced RNA 1". Lineage: Eukaryota; Metazoa; Chordata; Actinopteri; Osteoglossiformes; Osteoglossidae. The record is from Rfam by way of RNAcentral.
UGAUAGAUGCAUCUUGUUGAUAAACCUCCAGUAGGAGACAACUGGGGGAUUUUUCA